RNAcentral lists this ribosomal RNA (448 nucleotides) under uncultured bacterium. RNAcentral's name for it is "partial 16S ribosomal RNA". It matches the Rfam family "Bacterial small subunit ribosomal RNA", at positions 29 to 523 of the family's 1533-position model. The record is from RNAcentral.
AACGAACGCUGGCGGCAGGCUUUACACAUGCAAGUCGAACGGGCCCUUCGGGGUCAGUGGCAGACGGGUGAGUAACGCGUGGGAACGUGCCCUUCAGUUUGGGAUAACCCAGGGAAACUUGGGCUAAUACCGGAUACGUGCGAGAGCAGAAAGAUUUAUCGCUGAAGGAUCGGCCCGCGUCUGAUUAGCUGGUUGUAGGGUAAUGGCCUACCAAGGCGACGAUCAGUAGCUGGUCUGAGAGGAUGAUCAGCCACAUUGGGACUGAGACACGGCCCAAACUCCUACGGGAGGCAGCAGUGGGGAAUAUUGGACAAUGGGCGCAAGCCUGAUCCAGCCAUGCCGCGUGAGUGAUGAAGGCCUUAGGGUUGUAAAGCUCUUUCAGUGGGGACGAUAAUGACGGUACCCGCAGAAGAAGCCCCGGCUAAUUUCUUUCCAGCAGCCGCCGUAA